GGGCCCGCACAAGCGGUGGAGUAUGUGGUUUAAUUCGAUGCAACGCGAAGAACCUUACCAGGGUUUGACAUCCUGCGAAUCUCUUGGAAACGAGAGAGUGCCUUCGGGAGCGCAGUGACAGGUGGUGCAUGGCUGUCGUCAGCUCGUGUCGUGAGAUGUUGGGUUAAGUCCCGCAACGAGCGCAACCCUCGCCGUUAGUUGCCAGCAGGUUUGGCUGGGCACUCUAACGGGACCGCCGGUGUCAAGCCGGAGGAAGGUGGGGAUGACGUCAAGUCCUCAUGGCCCUUACGGGUAGGGCUACACACGUGCUACAAUGGCAGUGACAGUGAGUUAAUCUCCAAAAACUGCCUCAGUUCGGAUUGUCCUCUGCAACUCGAGGGCAUGAAGUUGGAAUCGCUAGUAAUCGCGGAUC
This 412-nucleotide ribosomal RNA is filed under the name uncultured bacterium. RNAcentral describes it as "bacterial SSU rRNA". It matches the Rfam family "Bacterial small subunit ribosomal RNA", at positions 917 to 1350 of the family's 1533-position model. The record is from RNAcentral.